Molecule: unclassified non-coding RNA, 805 nt
Filed under: Hevea brasiliensis (rubber tree)
Lineage: Eukaryota; Viridiplantae; Streptophyta; Magnoliopsida; Malpighiales; Euphorbiaceae
Source: RNAcentral
GUCCGAGACUGAGCUGAAAGAACAAAUUUGCACACACACACAUUAAGUCCCAUUUCUUCGUUCUAUAUACAGAGGAAACGAAGAUGAUGUCCAGCAAUUACACCGCAAUUGAUAGUCAGAAUGUUUCAGGAUCUGUUCCUGCAGCUGCAGGUCCACCUGGUCAAGUUGCCGUCAAAUUCACUGAGUCGAAUUUGCAGACAUUUCCACCUUCCAGUUCCCAGGGGAAAAUCUCUGGCGCUUCUGGACCUCCACGUGAUGCUGACGAUUCAUUCUCUAAGCCAGUAUCUGGUUCUGAUGAGCCCCAGCAGAGUGGUUGGUUUCGCGCUUUCACUAUUGCUGCUUAUAAGCCCUAUUUUGAUGUUGAUACCUCUGAUGUUCUAGAGAGGAUAAAAGAUUCUCUCCUUCCUUUCACUGGGUCCUUUUCUGAGAAGACUGCCGAUAGGCCAGAUUUGUAUGGCCCGUUCUGGAUAUGCAGUACCUUGGUUUUUGUUGCGGCUUCCAUUGGUACAUUUAUUACCUAUAUAGCACACAAGCUACAGAACAAGGAGUGGAACUAUGACAUCAACCUUAUCACUUGGUCCGCGGGUUUAUUCUAUGGUUAUUCCACUAUAGUUCCUCUUUGCUUGUUUCUAGUCCUCAAGUACUUCUCUGCCCCAUCUGGCCUCGUUCAGUUGCUGUGCCUUUAUGGCUAUUCCCUUUUUGUCUUCAUUCCAGCAUUGUGUCUGUCUCUUGUUCCCUGGGAGAUAGUGAGAUGGGUGGUUGCUGGUGUAGCUGGCUUCAUGUCUGCCACAUUUGUUGCUCUUAA